RNAcentral lists this transfer RNA (92 nucleotides) under bacterium. RNAcentral's name for it is "tRNA-Ser". It matches the Rfam family "tRNA". From Rfam's summary of the family: Transfer RNA (tRNA) molecules are approximately 80 nucleotides in length. Their secondary structure includes four short double-helical elements and three loops (D, anti-codon, and T loops). The record is from RNAcentral.
GGUGGGGUGGCUGAGCGGUUGAAAGCGCUGGUCUCGAAAACCGGUAGUCGUGUCAAAACGGCUCGUGGGUUCAAAUCCCACCCCCACCGCCA